UGCCACUCACAUCAAUUGGUUGGAUGGAAAAAGUCUGCUCAAUAAUUUUUCCAACAACCGGAAGCAAAACUAUAAAAUGACUUUCUUCAAAUGGUUUUCCGAUGAAAGUAACACAUCAGCCAAUCAUAUUUCAGAGGCUUUAAAAGAAGACAUCUGGCCAAACCCUAUACUGUAUUA
This is a non-coding RNA of Bemisia tabaci, 177 nucleotides long. NCBI's taxonomy places the organism in Eukaryota, Metazoa, Arthropoda, Insecta, Hemiptera, Aleyrodidae. The record is from RefSeq and is a predicted model, not a curated record.